This 625-nucleotide ribosomal RNA is filed under the name uncultured bacterium. RNAcentral describes it as "bacterial SSU rRNA". It matches the Rfam family "Bacterial small subunit ribosomal RNA", at positions 249 to 885 of the family's 1533-position model. The record is from RNAcentral.
UUGGUGAGGUAAUGGCUCACCAAGGCGACGACGGGUAGCCGGCCUGAGAGGGCGACCGGCCACACUGGGACUGAGACACGGCCCAGACUCCUACGGGAGGCAGCAGUGGGGAAUAUUGCACAAUGGGCGAAAGCCUGAUGCAGCGACGCCGCGUGAGGGAUGACGGCCUUCGGGUUGUAAACCUCUUUCAGCAGGGAAGAAGCGAAAGUGACGGUACCUGCAGAAGAAGCGCCGGCUAACUACGUGCCAGCAGCCGCGGUAAUACGUAGGGCGCAAGCGUUGUCCGGAAUUAUUGGGCGUAAAGAGCUCGUAGGCGGUCUGUCGCGUCGGAUGUGAAAGCCCGGGGCUUAACCCCGGGUCUGCAUUCGAUACGGGCAGACUAGAGUGUGGUAGGGGAGAUCGGAAUUCCUGGUGUAGCGGUGAAAUGCGCAGAUAUCAGGAGGAACACCGGUGGCGAAGGCGGAUCUCUGGGCCAUUACUGACGCUGAGGAGCGAAAGCGUGGGGAGCGAACAGGAUUAGAUACCCUGGUAGUCCACGCCGUAAACGUUGGGCGCUAGGUGUGGGUCCCUUCCACGGGGUCUGUGCCGCAGCUAACGCAUUAAGCGCCCCGCCUGGGGAGUACGG